Molecule: long non-coding RNA, 1380 nt
Filed under: Oryctolagus cuniculus (rabbit)
Lineage: Eukaryota; Metazoa; Chordata; Mammalia; Lagomorpha; Leporidae
Description: lncRNA (ENSOCUG00000035249.1)
Source: RNAcentral
GGAUCCUGGUGGCCUGAGACCCUGCAGACUGCAGACAUGGUGCAUGCUGGGAUUGCAUCGUCGGCAGCUCCACGGACGCUGGGGCCCGAAUCACCCAGGAGCCGGGUGAGACCACGACCUCCCGGCCUCGUCACGGAGGCCUUGGCCUUUCCUCCCGAGGACCUGGCCUCCUGCACCCCUCCUUUUCCAGAGGAUGAAAAUGUCCUGUAAUACCCAGUGGCUGCGCAGCUGUGAAUAUAUUGAAACUUAAAAAACAAUGUAUUUGAGAAGUGGAGAGAAACAGAGACAGAGUGACAUUUUCCACCUGCUGUUUCACUCCCCCAGAUGUCUGUGAGGGCCAGGGCUGGGCUGGGCGGAAGCCAGGAGCCAGGAUCUCCAUCCAAGCCUCGCGUGGCAGCAGCCCCUGGCUCCCCUGGGCACUGACCCGGCCCCGCUGGGUUCAUCAGGAGCCGCCCAUCCCCUUUCCUGGAACUCAAAGAAGCAGCAGAAACGAUGGGAUGCGCUCGGCUUGUUGGCUUCUCUACUGCUUGGCAGCUGCUGACGGCCACUCCCGCUCUGGGGACCUUUGCAGUGACCUGGCCCCUGGCCAUCCCUCCACUGCCCGGCAGCGAGCCAAAGGCCCCAACUGGUGCGACGUUUACUGCAGGGGCUGAGCCCAAAGACCCAAAAGAGGAGGGAGGAGCCUGCUGCCGCCGUGCUCCGUCAGCUCCUCAGGGAGGAGGGAGCCGGGAGAGCCGGGGAGCACCUGUUCUCCCAGCCAUCCCCGGGAUCCCCAGGUCCCACAGAAGGGCUGUGUCCUGGAGAGAGGUCUGCUGGGAUCACAUGACGCUCUGAAAACCAACCAUCCCGAGGGCCGCCUGCGAAUCCUGCCAGCGGUCUCACAGGUGGAGGUGUGAGUGACUGAGAGAUCAUGGGGAAGGCGGCAAAAAGUCAGGAAAUGGACAAGCAAGGGAAAAGAAUUUGCAACCCACAUCACACAGAGCUCAUCACCCUCAUAUACAAGUGGCUCCUGAAAUCAACAAGACCAGCAAUUCAGGCACUUGGAGCUUUCCCAGGAAGCCUGCAGGCAGACACCAGGACCGAUCGCUUCUUGAAGACAAACCAACCCCACUCGGUGGAAACCGCCCGCUGCAAUCGGCCUCGACUGAGGUUUCAGCCUUCUCGGCAGCACGUGGCCACCGAGCACAUCACUCCCAUGUUUCUUGUCCUCUCCUUGUUCGCAGCACUCCCACCAGGUUCUGAGGAUCAGAACUCCCAUCAGGGCUAAGGCCUAAAGACCUGGACAGGCUGCAUCUGACCGAGCAGGGUGCUCGCCUGGGCCACACACGACCUUGGCACAGAGACGCCAAGCACAGGAUGACUGGCCAAACAGCAACCUUG